Molecule: non-coding RNA, 215 nt
Filed under: Clostridium bornimense
Lineage: Bacteria; Bacillati; Bacillota; Clostridia; Eubacteriales; Clostridiaceae
Description: T-box sequence
Rfam family: T-box leader
About the family: Uncharged tRNA acts as the effector for transcription antitermination of genes in the T-box leader family. T-boxes are found upstream of many aminoacyl-tRNA synthetase genes and some amino acid biosynthetic genes usually in Gram-positive bacteria.
Source: RNAcentral
UAUUAGCUGUUGAAGAGAAUAGUAACAUUAGAAGGUGUUUAAGAGAGUCGAUGGUUGGUGCAAAUCGAUACAAGUUCAAUGUGAAUCCGCCUUGGAGGCUUAUUACGAUGAGUAAUACGGAGAAAACCGUUAAAACAUUAGAGAGGAUUAUAAUUUGUUCUAAAUGAACAUAUUGUAAUCAAUUAGGGUGGCAACACGAGACAUUCGUCCCUUUU